GAUGAACGCUAGCUACAGGCUUAACACAUGCAAGUCGAGGGGCAGCAUGAACUUAGCUUGCUAAGUUUGAUGGCGACCGGCGCACGGGUGAGUAACACGUAUCCAACCUGCCGAUGACUCGGGGAUAGCCUUUCGAAAGAAAGAUUAAUACCCGAUGGCAUAGUUCUUCCGCAUGGUAGAACUAUUAAAGAACUUCGGUCAUCGAUGGGGAUGCGUUCCAUUAGGUUGUUGGCGGGGUAACGGCCCACCAAGCCUUCGAUGGAUAGGGGUUCUGAGAGGAAGGUCCCCCCACAUUGGAACUGAGACACGGUCCAAAACUCCUACGGGAGGCAGCAGUGAGGAAUAUUGGUCAAUGGACGAGAGUCUGAACCAGCCAAGUAGCGUGAAGGAUGACUGCCCUAUGGGUUGUAAACUUCUUUAUACGGGAAUAAAGUGAGGCACGUGUGCCUUUUUGUAUGUACCGUAUGAAUAAGGAUCGGCUAACUCCGUG
RNAcentral lists this ribosomal RNA (490 nucleotides) under uncultured bacterium. Its description in RNAcentral is "bacterial SSU rRNA". It matches the Rfam family "Bacterial small subunit ribosomal RNA", at positions 28 to 507 of the family's 1533-position model. The record is from RNAcentral.